CCUACGGGAGGCAGCAGUGGGGGAUAUUGCACAAUGGGGGAAACCCUGAUGCAGCGACGCCGCGUGGGUGAAGAAGCGCCUCGGCGCGUAAAGCCCUGUCAGCAGGGAAGAAAAUGACGGUACCUGAAGAAGAAGCCCCGGCUAACUACGUGCCAGCAGCCGCGGUAAUACGUAGGGGGCAAGCGUUAUCCGGAAUUACUGGGUGUAAAGGGGGCGGAGACGGCGAUGCAAGCCAGGAGGGAAAGCCCGGGGCCCAACCCCGGGACUGCUCUUGGAACUGCGUGGCUAGGGUGCAGGAGGGGCAGGCGGAAUUCCUGGUGUAACGGUGAAAUGCGUAGAUAUCAGGAGGAACACCGGAGGCGAAGGCGGCCUGCUGAACUGCAACUGACGUUGAGGCCCGAAAGCGUGGGGAGCAAACAGGAUUAGAUACCCUAGUAGUC
This 440-nucleotide ribosomal RNA is filed under the name uncultured bacterium. RNAcentral describes it as "partial 16S ribosomal RNA". It matches the Rfam family "Bacterial small subunit ribosomal RNA", at positions 338 to 795 of the family's 1533-position model. The record is from RNAcentral.